Molecule: long non-coding RNA, 412 nt
Filed under: Trifolium pratense (red clover)
Lineage: Eukaryota; Viridiplantae; Streptophyta; Magnoliopsida; Fabales; Fabaceae
Description: long non-coding RNA (TPRA_LNC010949)
Source: RNAcentral
GAGAAAAGAUAGAAGAGAGAGAAAGAAAGUUGACAAAUGAAAAAGUUUUCAGAAAAAACAGCUUCUAAUGUAGGUUUUAUUAAUCUGGUGUCAAACUCAUUGUUUGGGUAAACCAUCAAACAACCCAUUGUUUUCAUUAACCAGGAAAUUGAGCACCAAUGCAUGUGUUUCUAGUUUUUCAUUUGUCACCUCAUCAUUCAAAUAUGUCAAGUGCUAAUUGGAUUACCUAUAGGCAAGUGGAACAUGAUCAUUGGAUGGAAAUUGGCAGCACAUUAGUGGAUGAAAUUGGCAAAGUUUCAUUGGACAAUAUGCAUGGUUGUUGAUCACCAAUUGGCCAAAUCAAUUAGGGUUUCAUUAGGGUUUCAAGUUUGAUCCUCCAACUCCACCAUCUUUUAGUAUAAUAGGAUAGGAU